RNAcentral lists this ribosomal RNA (404 nucleotides) under Bacillota bacterium. RNAcentral's name for it is "Firmicutes bacterium partial 16S ribosomal RNA". It matches the Rfam family "Bacterial small subunit ribosomal RNA", at positions 355 to 776 of the family's 1533-position model. The record is from RNAcentral. Lineage: Bacteria; Bacillati; Bacillota.
UGGGGAAUAUUGCACAAUGGGGGAAACCCUGAUGCAGCAACGCCGCGUGAGUGAUGACGGCCUUCGGGUUGUAAAGCUCUGUCUUCAGGGACGAUAAUGACGGUACCUGAGGAGGAAGCCACGGCUAACUACGUGCCAGCAGCCGCGGUAAUACGUAGGUGGCGAGCGUUGUCCGGAUUUACUGGGCGUAAAGGGAGCGUAGGCGGAUUUUUAAGUGAGAUGUGAAAUACUCGGGCUCAACUUGAGUGCUGCAUUUCAAACUGGAAGUCUAGAGUGCAGGAGAGGAGAAUGGAAUUCCUAGUGUAGCGGUGAAAUGCGUAGAGAUUAGGAAGAACACCAGUGGCGAAGGCGAUUCUCUGGACUGUAACUGACGCUGAGGCUCGAAAGCGUGGGGAGCAAACAGG